This 676-nucleotide long non-coding RNA is filed under the name Cyanistes caeruleus (blue tit). RNAcentral's name for it is "lncRNA (ENSCCEG00000007156.1)". The record is from RNAcentral. Lineage: Eukaryota; Metazoa; Chordata; Aves; Passeriformes; Paridae.
GAGAGACAAAGAAGGAGAAAACUGGAAAACUCCUGGAAUGUAAGAUAGAUGAAGCCUUCCCAGGAGCUCAAGGGUAAAAUGAAAGCCUUGCAGGAAUAUUUCCAAAAAUUACAGGAGUGCAGACAGAAGGAGCAUCAGCUUCUCAGAGCAGACCUGGAGAUGAACCAAGGAAAGGAGGGGAACUUUGCAAGGGUCCUGUUAUCUAGGAAGGAUAAAGAAAUCCAUAUACACUCCCAAAGAAUUCAGACUCUGCAAAAAGAUGUACAAGAAUGGCCAGGGACCACAAAGUCUGAGCUUGAAUUUCUCAGAGCAUACCUGGAGAAGAACCAAGGAAAGGAAGAGGAGGAAAUUUCAAGGGCCCUGGUAUCCAGCAUGACUUUGAAAUUCCAGCAGCUCUUUCAAAGAAUUGAAAGUUUGGAAGAGGAUUUACAGGAAUUGCUGAAGUCAUCACAGCAUGAGUUUCAGCUUCUCAGAGCAGGGCAGAAGUAACAAGGCAUGGUUGUAGGAAGGUGCAUAAGAAGACGAGUGGUGCAAUACAAACACACAGACAACUUCUGCAUGGAUGAAAUCUUGAUCACUGAGCAAAAUGGCAGUCUGGAAUCAAUUCACGAGUUUUUGGAGAAAUCAUUAUAAUGUGUUGUCUCUAUCGCUUUAUUUCAUACUUCUGGUUGUGGUU